UACAGAGGUCUCAAGCGUUGUUCGGAUUCAUUGGGCGUAAAGGGCGCGUAGGCGGCGCGGUAAGUCGGGUGUGAAAUCUUGGAGCUUAACUCCGAAACUGCAUUCGAUACUGCCGUGCUUGAGGACUGGAGAGGAGACUGGAAUUUACGGUGUAGCGGUGAAAUGCGUAGAUAUCGUAAGGAAGACCAGUGGCGAAGGCGGGUCUCUGGACAGUUCCUGACGCUGAGGCACGAAGGUCAGGGGAGCAAACGGG
RNAcentral lists this ribosomal RNA (253 nucleotides) under uncultured bacterium. RNAcentral describes it as "partial 16S ribosomal RNA". It matches the Rfam family "Bacterial small subunit ribosomal RNA", at positions 524 to 776 of the family's 1533-position model. The record is from RNAcentral.